Molecule: ribosomal RNA, 954 nt
Filed under: Mariannaea superimposita
Lineage: Eukaryota; Fungi; Ascomycota; Sordariomycetes; Hypocreales; Nectriaceae
Description: partial large subunit ribosomal RNA
Rfam family: Eukaryotic large subunit ribosomal RNA
Source: RNAcentral
CGGCGAGUGAAGCGGCAACAGCUCAAAUUUGAAAUCUGGCCCUCGGGUCCGAGUUGUAAUUUGUAGAGGAUGCUUUUGGUGCGGUGCCUUCCGAGUUCCCUGGAACGGGACGCCAUAGAGGGUGAGAGCCCCGUCUGGUUGGACGCCAAUCCUCUGUAAAGCUCCUUCGACGAGUCGAGUAGUUUGGGAAUGCUGCUCUAAAUGGGAGGUAUAUGUCUUCUAAAGCUAAAUAUUGGCCAGAGACCGAUAGCGCACAAGUAGAGUGAUCGAAAGAUGAAAAGCACUUUGAAAAGAGAGUUAAAAAGUACGUGAAAUUGUUGAAAGGGAAGCGCUCAUGACCAGACUUGGGCUUGGUAGAUCAACCUGGGUUCUCCCUGGUGCACUCUUCCUCGUUCAGGCCAGCAUCAGUUCGCUGCGGGGGAUAAAGGUUUCGGGAAUGUGGCUCCCUCGGGAGUGUUAUAGCCCGUUGCGUAAUACCCUGCGGUGGACUGAGGUUCGCGUUCUGCAAGGAUGCUGGCGUAAUGGUCAUCAGUGACCCGUCUUGAAACACGGACCAAGGAGUCGUCUUCGUAUGCGAGUGUUCGGGUGUUAAACCCCUACGCGUAAUGAAAGUGAACGCAGGUGAGAGCUUCGGCGCAUCAUCGACCGAUCCUGAUGUUCUCGGAUGGAUUUGAGUAAGAGCAUACGGGGCCGGACCCGAAAGAAGGUGAACUAUGCCUGUAUAGGGUGAAGCCAGAGGAAACUCUGGUGGAGGCUCGCAGCGGUUCUGACGUGCAAAUCGAUCGUCAAAUAUGGGCAUGGGGGCGAAAGACUAAUCGAACCUUCUAGUAGCUGGUUUCCGCCGAAGUUUCCCUCAGGAUAGCAGUGUUGAACUCAGUUUUAUGAGGUAAAGCGAAUGAUUAGGGACUCGGGGGCGCUAUUUAGCCUUCUUCCAUUCUCAAACUUUAAAUAUGU